This 5842-nucleotide long non-coding RNA is filed under the name Ooceraea biroi (clonal raider ant). RNAcentral describes it as "uncharacterized LOC113562310". Lineage: Eukaryota; Metazoa; Arthropoda; Insecta; Hymenoptera; Formicidae. The record is from RNAcentral.
GAACGGCGAGGGGAGCCCUCCUCUAUCGCUUGCGGCCGACGUUUUGUAACCAUCUCGUUGUCGACUUUAGCAGUUUCCACGUGAACCUCAGGCAACCCUCGUCCUGUGAUCUAAAUGUUACAUCGGUAACUUGCGACUGGGCAUAAUAAAACACGUUCGUUCGAUUUUAUUCUGCAUACGCGAUGUGUCCGCGUUCUCAUCCCGCUCUUUGCCGUUCACAUAAAAUAUAUUCAUAAAUGUAAUGUGCGGUUUCGUUGGACGUUCCACGCUCCGAGGCAAGGCAGAGGGUACGAUCGAAACGAGUACCUCACAAUAACACAACGACGCACGCGUGAAACUAAUUACCCGCCGUGUAAUUUCGUCUCCCUCCGUUCUCUCGCACCUACGACCCAACACGCUAAUUCUUUCAAGCGCCACGUCGUAGCGCAGUUAAACCAACGAGUGUACGAACGCCAGUGAUCACGAUUAAGGUGCUUCCCAUUAAGCCGGCGUUAACUACCUGCCGGCCCAAUUUGCGCGAGUCCGCUUUCGGGCGCUCGCUUCAAACGCGAACUCGCGCGCGCUCCGCUCGCCAUCGGCCGCGCUCGGUGGCGUAAUAGCGCCACAUGCAUAAUUAAUCGCCGUGCGCUGAUACGUCGACGGGCGCGUUAUAAAUAGGGAUAGCAUGUGGUUAAUUCAUCGUGUCGGGCGCGAUCGCGAGCGAUUGCGAUUUUAUUGCGCGACGUUACACGGCGCUUUAUCGCGCCGCAGAUUAUCGUCCGCGGCCGUUUAACCGAACUGUUAACUCACUACCUCUCAGGUGGGAUCGCGAAGAUUGAAAAUAAACAGACGGCUAUUACGCCUCCGCGUAAUGAUUUAUAGCCCAACUUUCGCUCGUGUUUCGCCGGGAUUAUCGACGCGUUAAUUUUCCGGUAAUUAAUAUUAUCUUAAUUGCUCCACGUGCUCCGGCUGUUAUCCGGCGAAAUGACGGAGACGUACGCAUUGUAGUGAAUAUUGACACGUUUUUUUAUUGUCAUAACAUAUUUCUUUUCUGAUCUUGGUUUCCUUGCGAGAAGAUUGAAGAAGGAAGCUAUAGGCGAAGGCUCGACUCGAAGUCAGAAGAUACUACUUCUCUUGAAGGCUCUUCUCUUGAAGACACCACUCCUAGUGGCGCCAUCUCUUCAGGAAGUGGAGAACCAGACUCUCCUGAAUAUGAGGAUCAGUUAGAAACGACGAAGCAAGAGUUGCCUCUGACUGCUUACAGGGUGUCUCAUAAAUCAAGUAUUAGAAGCGAUCGCGUGUGAAACGUUUUGCACUCGACUCUCAUCCUGGUUAAUUUAGCUGAACUAAAUCAUUUUAAAAGGGGCAAGAAGUCAAUUCGACUGAUUCGAAUUGACUCAUGAUUCUCUAAUGGAAGGAGAAAGAGGAAAAAAAUCAAACAUUGAAUUACACAAAAUUCCAUAUCAUAUAUCAAAAGAAGCCAGAUAUUAUAUCUGCAAAAUUAAUAAAUAUAUAACUAAUUUAGUUAAAUAUGUAUUGUAUAAAAUUACCGUGUGUAUAUUGUAAAAUAUUAUAAAUAAAAUAUAAUAUAUAUAAUAGAUGUAUUUUACGAUCCUCAACACUGAAGACACAUUGGUGGAAAGAUCUUUUGUCUAAUCGUCAAUUUUUAUGGGAUCCGAUAUCCACCGAAGAGGACCAAUGGCCGGUUGGAGCCCGUGGAAGGAGCCAAUCGCACUACAGGAACGCACGGUAUCCAGGAUCCGGUAAAAAGCAUCAAACGAAGCCGCUGGCGUUCACGGAAAGCGCCGGCCCUGCUGCACCCUCUCUCGAGCGUGUCCACGUCGCGUCCUUACUGCAGCAUCGACCGCAUUUUUUUCGUCGACAUCGAUCGUCCCGUGCGCCAUUCACCGCGAAAAAAAUUGUUCGAGGAAGGGAAAGUUACUGAGGAUACAUGUCCUCGUGAUCGUAGACGCGCUGCGCGCUGGAGAUGCAUUGUCCUUUUACAGGCAAGAGAUUUCUUUUUAGUUGCAACGAAACAUGCGCGAGUAGGUGGACGGUGCGGGAGGAACAGCCAUCGAUUAGCCGAACGACGGCGACCUUGUCGUGUCGCAGAUACGUCGAGCGAGAAACGCGAAGGGCGAGAUGGGCCCACGUGUGAAAAAGCCGCGAGAUCAUUUAUGUAUGUAUGUCACGCGGGAUGAAAAACGAGGCUUCGCGUCGGAUCGAUGGAUCCGCAUCCGGAACUCCUCGACGAUACGUCCGAUAUACAUCGUUCUUUUUUUUCUGCUGCAAAGCGUUUUUACUCGCAUUACGCUAUGCACUCGCGCGUCUCCUCCGAGGCGCUUUUCCGUCGGAUCGAUCAUCCGCCACGCUCGGCGGCAGAGGAGCGAACGGCACGUUGGUCGCUCGAUGAAUUUCAUUUAUCUUCCUGUUUUUCGUCGUAGACGCGCGAUUCCGGGAUACGCCGCGGUUUUACAAGCCGCACUCGCGAUUAUUAUGUAAGAAUGCGCGGCUCGCGUUCUUCUUGUCGCAUCGGCUGCAUUCUUCCCGUCGCGCGCAACCGCCUCGCGCGAUUUGCCCGAUAAAGAUCGCCGAGAUGAAGACGAGUAAUACGAUUACUGGGGAAGGUUAAUGCAUCUUCCCCACGACGCAUUACAAGAAUCCUCUUUUUACUUGUCCGCGCGUCUUGCCACCGCAUGUAACUAACGACGCGAUAUACAGUAGUACCGGCAGGAAAAAUCGGCAUAAAUAUCGCUACGAUGUUCGAAUUGCUAUUAACUUUCUUCGUGCGGAAAAUAUUCGCAGUUUUUAGAUCUAUUACUGAUAAUGAGCUUCACGCUUAAAUAGAUAUAUGAAACAGGCUAAGAAAUCGCUUUAUAUCGACCUAACACGAAAUGUAGGUAACGUUAAUAGUAAGUACGAUUCAAAUUAUUAAUAAUUUUGAGUAUUGUAUAUUUAGAUUGAAAUGUUAUGUACGGAAUAACUUGUGUGUUGGAUUUUGGAAGGUCGGAAGACUUAGAUUCAUAUCCGUUCGCAGCGGACUGUCAUUACAGGAGAACAAGUCAGGUCAUCUUUAAUGCUAGGGUUGCUCGGGCUGGUUCGAUUUCAAAAUUCCCAACAAAGAGGGAACAAAGAACAGUUGCGACGAACAUUAACGCACCGCUGAUGACAGAAAGCAGGUGGAGCAUAGUGUGGGACAAAAUUUGGAGCCACAAAUUGCUGCAACGAUGAGCAAGCGGAACCUUCACAGACAUUGGUAGCAUAUUUGACUGAGAAAUAAUAUAUCCAAAUAAGUAGGAUAGUUAUUUAGCAUAUAAAUAAAAUAUAUUGCAAAAUAUGAAAUGUCAUAACAAUAAAAUAGACAAAGAUGCAUUCUAGAAUAUUUAUAUAUAUUUAAAGAUGAAUCAUACAUGUGUGCACGUGUGAAUCAGAAAUUUUGUUCUUACUGCAUGUAAUAGAAACAGGAUUUUCAUAAAGUCUUGAGAGCUGUAAUCAAAUUGAAAUUUAAGUCAACAAUAUUUACGCAUUGAAUGCGCUAAUACUUGAUUCGCACUAAACGCAAAUUACGAGUCAUGCACAAUUAACAAUUCACAAGGAGCAAUCAUCGACCGGCAUGCAGCGGCGCGCUGAGUAUGAUAUCGACCGAAAUGCCGUGCGUUAACGCGGGAAUUAAAUGCACGACGUUUUUCGUUAAAUGACGAAGGUAAACAGCGAAAUUAUAUGGCGAUUUAAGUCAGGGUUACAGCAUGUGAAAGAUAGAGAAAGAGGAAAAGACAUUUAACGAUAACAUGCGGUUAGGUAUCAGUAAAUAGCGAAAUGAUUGUUAGCAUAUUAACGUUAAGCAGAACAUUAGACGUAUUAUAACAGUUGUUCGGGAGUAAUGGCCGCUAAUAUGUGAACUAUUAAUGCCAUUGACCUAUCUCUUAAAUAUCACACAACGGUGCAACAGCAAUUAUCAAAUCCGGUAUUAAACGCUUGGCAUGCACCACUGAUUACGUCGGCCGUCGUAACAUAUUUAAGUAGCGCGUUGUAAAGAUAAAUAAUAGGAAUAACGAGCCGUUAAACUCGUCUUUUUUUACUGGUCUCACGGAACUAACGCGUGUCGCAGCUAUUAAUGCCACACGAGAUGUAAUCGAUGCCGUUUAACGCACUUAUACAUAUGUAAGAGAGCCGGAGAGCUUGGCGCUUCAUUGUAAACUCAACGAAAAUGUUUUGCAGGAUAAUAGCCCGCCAAACUUACAACGCCAAUAAUGCACGCGAAAUCGAGCCUAUUUACUUAGCGUUGCUCACAUGAUCGUGCGUAAUACCAGUAGACCUGUCCUUGUUGCUAAUUUUAUACCGAAUUAGCCAUAAAUGCGAGCAUUUUCGCCCUAUCGGUGACCAUGUGCAUAUUUAUACGUCGAAUGUCCGACGCUCUCGUGUAUAUCAACCUUCUCAUUUACCAUCUAUGCUUUUUUUUAUAUCUGCGUCUUGCGCAUGUUAACUUAAAUUAAUUUUCUAAUAAACUAAUUUUCUGGAUCGCUUGUGCAAGCUAAAAUCUAAUUAAGUAAAUAGGGUAAAAAAAUAAAAAUUUUGCUGAGGGAAUACCUUCAAAAUUGUACGCGAUAAGCAAAUUACACGCAUCCCCGAAGUGCAUUUUAGAAUUAAUCGAUGGUAUGUAUUGUACAGCGUCAUAGGUGAAAAAUAGCACACUGAUAACGUCGCAAUAUGGCCUGCCGUAUCUUGUCACGCGCUAUCGACCGCAUAAACAACCGAUGCACUUGGCUCGAUUAAUAAUGGUUUGUUUUAGUAAUAUCAGCGCAACAUAUAUACGUUGGCAUUAUUGAACUAUAAUAUUAUAACUAUAAUACAAUGAUCGUUACUUUGGAAUGUACAAUUAGAAUGAUAAUGUAUGAUACUUUUUAUGAAGCUUUUAUUGGCUUAUAUGGCUCUUAUGUAAUAUUGUUCGAAGUAAUUUUGACAUUCAAUGCCGUAUACUUUCAACAGUGACACAAUGUUGCGGGCGUUUUGUAAUUACUCGCAAACUCAUAAUUGGUGCAUAGCGAUAAGAUACGUUGCAUGCACAUCGAAUAUGCACGAUAGAUUAGGAAACUGGAACAUUCACGAUGACCAUUAAGUUAAUUAUCGGGCGUUGUCUUGUCUAUUGCUGACUUGACGAUGAGACCACGCAAUUAGAUAGGUACUAUUAUCGCUUCGUAAUGUAAAAUGCGUGAUGCCUGGAGUACCCAAUAGAGUUUUCAACAAUGGCGUUUCGAUCCGCAAGCGGUCAGAUAACGAGGUCUCGUUACCGGCGCUACAUCGUGCCCGAUUUCUCGGCAUCCUCAAGGAUCAUCUGCGGCGGCCUCAGCGGAUCAUUAGGAGUCUUCCGGUUCCGCGGCGGGUCGGCAUAAGCAGGACAAAACAUCAUAAACCAUAUUAAGCAACGGCCAUAAAAACUCUCUCCCUGCCGAGCCCGUAUACGCACCGCUUGAUUUCAAAUCCUUGGAAGGCCUCGCCAUCCACCUUGAUCCGAACGAUGUGUGUCGUAUAUAUUUAUUGAGAGACAGUAAACCGCAAUUAUGACCACCAUAACCGACUAACUAACCAUCGCGCCGUCGUCGUCGCGGAUCACCAACUUUUUUCCAGUCUUCUCGCUCUUCUCGCCUGUCCCGUUUUUUUCUCACCUUCAUCUCGUUUUCUCCUGACAUGAUCGAAAGGUAAAAGAAAUCUGCAAGAGGAUGGCAUUUUACGGACAGUAGAACAUUGCAACCAGUUUGAGAAUCCUAAUGAAUUCAGUCGAUAACACUCGGGUUAGCUAAGAGAAGAAAUUUAUGAAAGAUUCUUAAAAAUUAUCAUGUGAUAAAAUAAAAGAUUAUUUAUUAUG